Molecule: ribosomal RNA, 301 nt
Filed under: uncultured bacterium
Lineage: Bacteria
Description: partial 16S ribosomal RNA
Rfam family: Bacterial small subunit ribosomal RNA
Source: RNAcentral
CAGUAGCCGCGGUAAUACGUAUGGGGCAAGCGUUGUCCGGAAUUAUUGGGCCUAAAGCGCGCGCAGGCGGUUUUUUAAGUCUGGUGUCUAAGUGCGGGGCUCAACCCCGUGACGCACUGGAAACUGGGAGACUUGAGUGCAGAAGAGGAGAGCGGAAUUCCACGUGUAGCGGCGAAAUGCGUAGAGAUGUGGAGGAACACCAGUGGCGAAGGCGGCUCUCUGGACUGUAACUGACGCUGAGGCGCGAAAGCGUGGGGAGCAAACAGGAUUAGAUACCCCCGUAGUCCCUGUCUCUUAUACC